This 1280-nucleotide ribosomal RNA is filed under the name Aphidius gifuensis. Its description in RNAcentral is "16S ribosomal RNA". The record is from RNAcentral. Lineage: Eukaryota; Metazoa; Arthropoda; Insecta; Hymenoptera; Braconidae.
AUUUAAUUUAAAAUAUCUAAUAAUAAUAAAUUAAAUUAAAAAAAAUUAUUAAAAUUUAAAAAGUUAUUAAAAUAAAAUGAAAUAAUAUUAUUUAAAAUAAAAAUUUUAUAAUCAAAUAAUUUAAAAUUAAAUUAAAUAUUUUUACCUUUUGUAUCAGGGAUAAUUAAAAUUUAACUAAAUCUUUAAAUCUCGAAAAAAAAAAAUUAAGUAUAAAAAUUUUUAUUAUAAAAAUAAUAUUUUUAAUUUAUACUUAGAAACAAUAUAUUAAACGAUUUUUUUGAUAUCUAGUUAUUUAAUAAAUUAAUUUAAUUAAGUUAUAAAUUAAAAAUAUUUUAAAAUAUUUUAUUAAUAUUUUUAUUUAUAAUAAAAAUUUAGGGGAUAAACUCUUAAUUUUUAAUUACAAUUAUAUAAUUAUUAAUUUAAUAACAUAAAUAUAAUAAUAAUUAAUGUUGAUAAAUAUAUAAUAAUUUAAUUAAAAAUAUUCAAUAUUUAUAAUAAUUUAAAAAUUUAUUAAAUUUUGUUAAUUAAUAUAUAAUUAAUAAAAUUAAUGAUUAUAUAAGUAAAUAAUAAUUUUUUAAAAUAUAAAUUUGUAAAAAAAAAUUUUAUUAAUGAAUUAAGCAAAUAAUUAUAUUCACCUGUUCAACAAAAACAUGUCUUAUUGAUAAUAAUUUUAAGUCUAAUCUGCCCAAUGAAAAUUAAAUGGCUGCAGUAUCAAUAACUGUACAAAGGUAGCAUAAUAGUUAGUUUUUUAAUUGAAAACUAGAAUGAAAGAUUAAAUGAAAUAUAAACUUUAUAAAUAAAACAAAAAUUUAAAUUAAAUUUUAAGUUAAAAUUCUUAAAUAUAAUUAAAAGACGAGAAGACCCUUUAGAAUUUAAUAUUAAAUAUAAUUAAACUUAUAAUAUUUUAAAUAUAAAUUAUAUUUAAUAUUUAAUUGGGGUAAUUUUAUAAUUUAAUAAACUUUUAAAUAAUUAUAACAUUAAUUAAUGAUUAUAUAAUCCUAAUUUUUAGUAUUUUAAAAUAAAUUACCUUAGGGAUAACAGCGUAAUUUUUUUUGAAAGUUCACAUUUAUAAAAAAGAUUGCGACCUCGAUGUUGAGUUAAGAUUGAAUUAAAAGCAAAAAUUUAAUAUUUUAAGUCUGUUCGACUUUUAAAAUCUUACAUGAUUUGAGUUAAGAUCGGUGUAAGCCAGAUCGGAUUCUAUCUUUAAAUAAACUUAACAUAAUUGUACGAAAGGAAUUUAUGAUAAAAAUAAUUUUUAUAUCUAUAAAUAUAAAAUAUAA